GUAGCCUGCAACCCGGCCUACAUGAAGCUGGAAUCGCUAGUAAUCGCAGAUCAGAAUGCUGCGGUGAAUACGUUCCCGGGUCUUGUACACACCGCCCGUCACACCAUGGGAGCCGGCAACGCCCGAAGUCAGUGGCCUAACCGAGAGGGAGGAGCUGCCGAAGGCGGGGCUGGUAACUGGGGUGAAGUCGUAACAAGGUACC
This 202-nucleotide ribosomal RNA is filed under the name uncultured bacterium. RNAcentral's name for it is "partial 16S ribosomal RNA". It matches the Rfam family "Bacterial small subunit ribosomal RNA", at positions 1300 to 1500 of the family's 1533-position model. The record is from RNAcentral.